AAACUUUCAACAACGGAUCUCUUGGUUCUGGCAUCGAUGGAGAACGCAGCGAAAUGCGAUAAGUAAUGUGAAUUGCAGAAUUCAGUGAAUCAUCGAAUCUUUGAACGCACAUUGCGCCCUCUGGUAUUCCGGAGGGCAUGCCUGUUCGAGCGUCAUUU
RNAcentral lists this ribosomal RNA (158 nucleotides) under Phyllosticta sp. TACP00K1023. RNAcentral's name for it is "5.8S ribosomal RNA". It matches the Rfam family "5.8S ribosomal RNA". Rfam says of the family: 5.8S ribosomal RNA (5.8S rRNA) is a component of the large subunit of the eukaryotic ribosome. It is transcribed by RNA polymerase I as part of the 45S precursor that also contains 18S and 28S rRNA. Lineage: Eukaryota; Fungi; Ascomycota; Dothideomycetes; Botryosphaeriales; Phyllostictaceae. The record is from RNAcentral. RNAcentral also lists the same sequence under 1 other name.